UACCUGCCGGGCUGGAACAACCCUGCUCCCCCUGCCCCCAACACCUGCUGUAAGGCUGCGUCAAGAUCAGUGCUAGUUGUGCCACAUAAGCAGGAACGCAGGAUGCUAUUUUUGACAUCUCUUCCUGCUGCCAUGGUUUUGUUACCUGCUGCCUGAAAGCCUGGAUUGGGUACAUUUAAUACAACCAGUUGCUGCAGCAAAGCAUUUCUUCUUGCUGGAACAGGAACUCCAGUUUCAACUAUGGCUGCGUCAAGACAUACUGGGAUUUGUCAUGCCAACGCUAAACUGAGUCUAAGCUUCAGCCCUUUGUAUGGGAUCUAUUUGCAGAAAGAGGAAGUUACUGUACUGAAAACAGGCACUCAGUGCUUGGCUGCAUAACCUUCUUAGAGAUCAGGCUUCUCAAAAAAAGGGAAUGUUGUCUUACUUCAAAAGCUUUAUGAAAUGCAAACUCAGUUAAAUUCAGUUAAACCUUUCAAGUUUCUCCUUUGUUUGGCUCUAGUAAACUAGUGAUUGACUUAAAAAAAAAAGCUGUAACUAAUAACUGAGGGAAGGAAAAACUAAUGUUACUACCGUAUGUACAGGAUGUCUGUCACUUCAAAAUAAAAUUUAUACUUUGAUUUAGCAUCAAGAUCA
Molecule: long non-coding RNA, 633 nt
Organism: Struthio camelus australis
Lineage: Eukaryota; Metazoa; Chordata; Aves; Struthioniformes; Struthionidae
Source: RefSeq, a predicted model, not a curated record